GUGCUCGCUUCGGCAGCACCGUGCUAACUGGAACCAUACAGAGGAGAUCAGCAUGGCCCCUGCACCAGGAUGACACCCAAUUCGUGAAGCGUUCCUUUUUUUU
This is a small nuclear RNA of Eptesicus fuscus (big brown bat), 103 nucleotides long. The record is from RefSeq and is a predicted model, not a curated record. Lineage: Eukaryota; Metazoa; Chordata; Mammalia; Chiroptera; Vespertilionidae.